This 460-nucleotide ribosomal RNA is filed under the name uncultured bacterium. RNAcentral describes it as "partial 16S ribosomal RNA". It matches the Rfam family "Bacterial small subunit ribosomal RNA", at positions 338 to 795 of the family's 1533-position model. The record is from RNAcentral.
CCUACGGGAGGCAGCAGUGAGGAAUAUUGGUCAAUGGACGGGAGUCUGAACCAGCCAAGUAGCGUGAAGGAUGACUGCCCUAUGGGUUGUAAACUUCUUUUAUAAAGGAAUAAAACGAGCCACGUGUGCCUUUUUGCAUGUUAUUUAUGAAUAAUGCUCGGCUAACUCCGUGCCAGCAGCCGCGGUAAUACGGAGGAUCCGAGCGUUAUCCGGAUUUCUUGGGUUUAAAGGGAGCGUAGAUGGGUUGUUAAGUCAGUUGUGAAAGUUUGCGGCUCAACCGUAAAAUUGCAAUUGAUACUGGCAGUCUUGAGUGAAGUUGAGGUAAGCGGAAUGCGUGGUGUAGCGGUGAAAUGCAUAGAUAUCACGCAGAACCCCGAUUGCGAAGGCAGCUUACUAACCUGUGACUGACAUUGAUGCACGAAAGUGUGGGUAUCAAACAGGAUUAGAUACCCGGGUAGUC